GUCACAAUGUGCAAAAAGCCUGUGUGGAUGCCCCAUCAAGUAACUAGCCUUUCAGGAGAUUUAAGGGUUUGCCAUUUAGAUAACCCUUUCCCUAGGUUGUCUCUUGGUGGAUGUUUGCAGUUAAAAUGACCCCAGAUCCAGCAUGGUGGUCAUGUUCCCAGUCCUGUGACAUCAGCAAUUUCAGAAGUCAAGCCUGAAGGCUACACAAACCCCAUCAGAGAGAGAAUGAGCCUCUGAGGUGAGCAAGAAGCUUCAGUGUAACAAGCACUAGGGGAACGACACACUGGAAAGCAGCAGCGUCAGCGAAGAGACAAGGUGACAGAUGUGAACCAGAGGAAGGCUGAUCCCUCAGGCUCACUCAGCACACUGGGAUAUCCCUGCAGGUCCACUGCUGUCGCUGAGAAACGCUGAGAGUAGAGCUGUCAACUAGGAAGAGGAGUGGGGGAAAAAUCCCUGUUGGAAUCAAUGCUGAAUCGCAGAGGUUUGCCUGUGCAAACCGGGAUGGAAAACCCUAGGCUCCGGGGAGCCAUCACUGAGAACUGAGAGGUGGAAUGCCCUGGGGCAGGAAAGGAAUGUUUCAGGGACCAGAGCAAAGCCUACAAGAAUGAAAACCUGAGGACAACCAUGAGAGCCAGGAACAGGCCAUCAAACACAGCUUUAGAGGUCAUAUUCCUUUUGGCACCAGAAAGAAUAAUGACCAUAAGUGAUUUGCUUUGCAUUUAUGGCUUUU
Long non-coding RNA from Chiroxiphia lanceolata (lance-tailed manakin), 730 nucleotides. RefSeq lists it as uncharacterized. The record is from RefSeq and is a predicted model, not a curated record. NCBI's taxonomy places the organism in Eukaryota, Metazoa, Chordata, Aves, Passeriformes, Pipridae. The transcript has 3 exons.